Molecule: non-coding RNA, 73 nt
Organism: Parelaphostrongylus tenuis
Lineage: Eukaryota; Metazoa; Nematoda; Chromadorea; Rhabditida; Metastrongylidae
Source: the annotation of a GenBank genome assembly
GCGUCAGUGGUGCAACGGUUCAGCACGCGCCCCCGAGUAGGGUGAAAUAUGGGUUCGAAUCCCAACUGUGGCA